RNAcentral lists this unclassified non-coding RNA (1101 nucleotides) under Hevea brasiliensis (rubber tree). Lineage: Eukaryota; Viridiplantae; Streptophyta; Magnoliopsida; Malpighiales; Euphorbiaceae. The record is from RNAcentral.
CGAGGUACCAUCGCCUCCAAUCGGUACUCUCUCUCUCUUAACCCUCAUCUAUGCGUAUUUUUUGGGUAUGUUUCAGUGUUUUAGCUGAAGUAAUAUUUUUUCCUAAUUUUGGUGGUAUGUUUUAGUUUGGGUACUAGGUAAAUUUUCUUUCGAGGUUAAUUUGGUAUUCCCAAUUCCUAUCUGUGUGCCUUAUGUGAUGCAAUAUAGCUAGAAUUGCUAGAAGUUGCUUCGAGAUGUAGUAGUUGUAUGCCGUAUUCAUUCCAAAAAGAGAAUUGAAUACUACACAAUUAUAUUGAUCUUAAUCAUGCAUCACAGAGACCAAUCGGUCUUCACAGAUCUUGAGUCCUAAUUCCUCCAUACACCAAAUGUUAGUGUAAUUAUUUGUGGUGUGGGGAUAUGAAUGGUAAGUUUCAAUGAUCUCAGGACAAAUACAUUUCUGAUGAAAUAAAAAAUAAUGGUUUCCUGCUAACUCAUUUGCCUUUGCUAUAUAUUCUGGAAAUCAUUUUCCUUGUAGGAAAGUGUCCCAAUGGUAUUUAAUUUGGUGCAUUUCACAUGGGAGAAAUGCAACAAUGAAAAUACUAUGUUGUUUUGAUUCUGAAGCAAGUACAUAUUUGUUUGUUUGGAAUUGGAUUGUUUUGUAUUGCGAGGUUUGAAUGGUGGAUUGGCCAAUGAACUUCAGAAAAAUAUAACCCAUAGUUGUGAAAUUUGUUCAUAUAUGAUGUGUUAUUACAUCACUUGCAUUUAGAGUAUUUUAAACACUACGUUGUGAAGUUGUAUUCAGCCAAGGGGGAGCAUGACCAGGACUAUUGCCCAAAUGAUGCAGAGUGAUGGAGGGAUUUCAAGGAAAUUUAAUGCCAUUUUUUAUUUUGUCUGUUGCCAAAGCAUGUUUCCGUUGCAUCUACUUUUUCGAUUUGUUGCUUGUAUCAAUAGCAUUAUAAGAUGUACUAGUUUAGCAGUAGAAUGAUUUUUCAUACUCACACUAGAAUGAAGAUUCAAACUUUGUAUUCCUAUAUGUAGUGUUUUAUUAGUUGGAUCACUUCCCCUAUCUUAUUGCUUUUGACUUCUAUGUUUUUUGCAGGAAAUAUUGUGAAAGAAGAUGCA